UGGGGAAUCUUAGACAAUGGGGGCAACCCUGAUCUAGCCAUGCCGCGUGAGUGAUGAAGGCCUUAGGGUCGUAAAGCUCUUUCGCCUGUGAUGAUAAUGACAGUAGCAGGUAAAGAAACCCCGGCUAACUCCGUGCCAGCAGCCGCGGUAAUACGGAGGGGGUUAGCGUUGUUCGGAAUUACUGGGCGUAAAGCGCGCGUAGGCGGAUUAGAAAGUUGGGGGUGAAAUCCCGGGGCUCAACCCCGGAACUGCCUCCAAAACUGCUAGUCUAGAGUUCGAGAGAGGUGAGUGGAAUUCCGAGUGUAGAGGUGAAAUUCGUAGAUAUUCGGAGGAACACCAGUGGCGAAGGCGGCUCACUGGCUCGAUACUGACGCUGAGGUGCGAAAGUGUGGGGAGCAAACAGGAUUAGAUACCCUGGUAGUCCACACCGUAAACGAUGAAUGCCAGUCGUCGGAUAGUAUACUAUUCGGUGACACACCUAACGGAUUAAGCAUUCCGCCUGGGGAGUACGGUCGCAAGAUUA
RNAcentral lists this ribosomal RNA (523 nucleotides) under uncultured bacterium. Its description in RNAcentral is "bacterial SSU rRNA". It matches the Rfam family "Bacterial small subunit ribosomal RNA", at positions 355 to 896 of the family's 1533-position model. The record is from RNAcentral.